UUGCUGGGUGGAUUAGUGGCGAACGGGUGAGUAACACGUGAGUAACCUGCCCCUGACUCUGGGAUAAGCGUUGGAAACKACGUCUAAUACUGGAUAUGAUCACUGGCCGCAUGGUCUGGUGGUGGAAAGAUUUUUUGGUUGGSGAUGGACUCSCGGCCUAUCACCUUGUUGGUGAGGUAAUGGCUCACCAAGGCSACSACGGGUAGCCGGCCUGAGAGGGUGACCGGYCACACUGGGACUGAGACACGGCCCAAACUCCUACGGGAGGCAGCAGUGGGGAAUAUUGCACAAUGGGCGAAAGCCUGAUGCAGCAACGCCGCGUGAGGGAUGACGGCCUUCGGGUUGUAAACCUCUUUUAGUARGGAAGAAGCGAAAGUGACGGUACCUGCAGAAAAAGCCCCGGCUAACUACUUGCCAUCUKCCSCGGGAAUACGUACGGUGCAAGCGUUGUCCUGAAUUAUUGGGCGUAAAGAGCUCGUACGCGGUUUGUCCCGUCUGCUGUGAAAUCCCGAGGCUCAACCUCGGGCUUGCAGUGGGUACGGGCAGACUACACUGCGGGAUGGGAGAUUGSAAUUCCUG
RNAcentral lists this ribosomal RNA (579 nucleotides) under Curtobacterium sp. RNAcentral's name for it is "bacterial SSU rRNA". The record is from RNAcentral. Lineage: Bacteria; Bacillati; Actinomycetota; Actinomycetes; Micrococcales; Microbacteriaceae.